RNAcentral lists this ribosomal RNA (848 nucleotides) under uncultured bacterium. RNAcentral's name for it is "bacterial SSU rRNA". It matches the Rfam family "Bacterial small subunit ribosomal RNA", at positions 25 to 922 of the family's 1533-position model. The record is from RNAcentral.
CAAAAAAGGGCUGGCGGGCAGGCCUACACAUGCAAGUCGAGCGCACUCUUCGGAGUGAGCGGCGGACGGGUUAGUAACGCGUGGGAACGUGCCCAGAUCUAAGGAAUAGCCACUGGAAACGGUGAGUAAUACCUUAUACGCCCUUCGGGGGAAAGAUUUAUCGGAUUUGGAUCGGCCCGCGUUAGAUUAGAUAGUUGGUGGGGUAACGGCCUACCAAGUCUACGAUCUAUAGCUGGUUUUAGAGGAUGAUCAGCAACACUGGGACUGAGACACGGCCCAGACUCCUACGGGAGGCAGCAGUGGGGAAUCUUGGACAAUGGGGGCAACCCUGAUCCAGCCAUGCCGCGUGAGUGAUGAAGGCCUUAGGGUCGUAAAGCUCUUUCGCCAGGGAUGAUAAUGACAGUACCUGGUAAAGAAACCCCGGCUAACUCCGUGCCAGCAGCCGCGGUAAUACGGAGGGGGUUAGCGUUGUUCGGAAUUACUGGGCGUAAAACGCGCGUAGGCGGAUUGGAAAGUUGGGGGUGAAAUCCCGGGGCUCAACCCCGGAACUGCCUCCAAAACUAUCAGUCUAGAGUUCGAGAGAGGUGAGUGGAAUUCCGAGUGUAGAGGUGAAAUUCGUAGAUAUUCGGAGGAACACCAGUGGCGAAGGCGGCUCACUGGCUCGAUACUGACGCUGAGGUGCGAAAGUGUGGGGAGCAACAGGAUUAGAUACCCUGGUAGUCCACACCGUAAACGAUGAAUGCCAGUCGUCGGCAAGCAUGCUUGUCGGUGACACACCUAACGGAUUAAGCAUUCCGCCUGGGGAGUACGGUCGCAAGAUUAAAACUCAAAUGAAUUGACGGAAGGGC